RNAcentral lists this ribosomal RNA (2003 nucleotides) under human gut metagenome. RNAcentral describes it as "bacterial LSU rRNA". It matches the Rfam family "Bacterial large subunit ribosomal RNA", at positions 832 to 2856 of the family's 2925-position model. The record is from RNAcentral.
AUCGAACUCGGAUAUAGCUGGUUCUCCUCGAAAUAGCUUUAGGGCUAGCCUCAAGGAAAGAUAUGCGGGGGUAGAGCACUGACUGUUCGCGGGGCCUUCACCGGUUACCAACAACUAUCAAACUCCGAAUACCGUUAUAUUAUACUUGGGAGUCAGACUAUGAGAGAUAAGUUCCAUGGUCGAAAGGGAAACAGCCCAGAUCAACAGCUAAGGUCCCAAAGAGUAAGUUAAGUGGAAAAGGAUGUGGGAUUGCACAAACAGCUAGGAUGUUGGCUUAGAAGCAGCCAUUCAUUUAAAGAGUGCGUAAUAGCUCACUAGUCGAGUGAUCCUGCGCCGAAGAUAAACGGGGCUAAAACUUACCACCGAAGCUUUGGAAUUGCUUAGGCAAUUGGUAGAGGAGCGUUCUGUACGGGCAGAAGGGAAGUCGUAAGGCGACCUGGACUGUACAGAAGAGAGAAUGUUGGCAUGAGUAGCGUAAGGCGGGUGAGAAUCCCGUCCGCCGAAAAUCUAAGGUUUCCUGAGGAAGGUUCGUCCUCUCAGGGUAAGUCGGGACCUAAGCCGAGAGCGAGAGCUGUAGGCGAUGGACAACAGGUUAAUAUUCCUGUACUACCGAUGAUUGUAUGAGUGAAGUGGGGACGCAGAAGGAUAAGUUGAGCACGCCGUUGGUUGAGCGUGUCCAAGCAGUGAGGUUUGAAUGUAGGCAAAUCCGCAUUCUAUGAGAUUGAGCUGUGAUGGGGUGACGAAAGUCAAUAAGCAACUGAUUUCACGCUGCCGAGAAAAGCCACUAGCGAGAUCAAAGGUACCCGUACCGCAAACCGACACAGGUAGAUGAGGAGAGAAUCCUAAGGUGAGCGAGCGAACUAUUGUUAAGGAACUCGGCAAAAUAACCCCGUAACUUCGGGAGAAGGGGUGCCCACAUAAGUGGGCCGCAGUGAAGAGGUCCAGGCAACUGUUUACCAAAAACACAGGUCUCUGCUAAAUCGAAAGAUGAAGUAUAGGGGCUGACGCCUGCCCGGUGCUGGAAGGUUAAGGGGAAGUGUUAGAGCAAUCGAAGCACUGAACUUAAGCCCCAGUAAACGGCGGCCGUAACUAUAACGGUCCUAAGGUAGCGAAAUUCCUUGUCGGGUAAGUUCCGACCCGCACGAAAGGCGUAAUGAUCUGGACACUGUCUCAACAAUAGGCUCGGUGAAAUUGUAGUACCGGUAAAGAUGCCGGUUACCCGCAGCAGGACGGAAAGACCCCGUGGAGCUUCACUGUAGCUUGAUAUUGAGUUUCGGCGUUGCAUGUACAGGAUAGGUGGGAGACUAUGAGACGGGUACGCCAGUAUCCGUGGAGUCACCGUUGGGAUACCACCCUUGUAACGUUGGAAUUCUAACCGAGUAUCGUAAUCCGGUACCGGGACAGUGUCAGGUGGGCAGUUUGACUGGGGCGGUCGCCUCCUAAAGAGUAACGGAGGCGCCCAAAGGUUCCCUCAGCGCGGACGGAAAUCGCGCGAAGAGUGCAAAGGCAAAAGGGAGCUUGACUGCGAGACAUACAGGUCGAGCAGGGACGAAAGUCGGGCUUAGUGAUCCGGUGGUACCGCGUGGAAGGGCCAUCGCUCAACGGAUAAAAGCUACCCCGGGGAUAACAGGCUUAUACCCCCCAAGAGUUCACAUCGACGGGGGUGUUUGGCACCUCGAUGUCGGCUCGUCUCAUCCUGGGGCUGAAGUAGGUCCCAAGGGUUGGGCUGUUCGCCCAUUAAAGAGGUACGCGAGCUGGGUUCAGAACGUCGUGAGACAGUUCGGUCCCUAUCCGCUGUGGGCGUUGGAAAUUUGAGAGGAGCUAUCCUUAGUACGAGAGGACCGGGAUGGACAUACCUCUGGUGCACCGGUUGUUCUGCCAAGGGCAUAGCCGGGUAGCUAAGUAUGGACGGGAUAAGCGCUGAAAGCAUCUAAGUGCGAAGCCCCCCUCAAGAUAAGAUUUCCCCCAGAAAUGGUAAGACCCGUGAGAGACUAUCACGUUGA